UGCAGUCGCACGGGUGGUUUCGGCCAUCAGUGGCGGACGGGUGAGUAACGCGUAGGAACGUGUCCAGAGGUGGGGGACAACCCCGGGAAACUGGGGCUAAUACCGCAUGGGGGCUGAGGCCCAAAGCCGAGAGGCGCCAUUGGAGCGGCCUGCGUCCGAUUAGGUAGUUGGUGGGGUAAAGGCCUACCAAGCCUGCGAUCGGUAGCUGGUCUGAGAGGACGACCAGCCACACUGGGACUGAGACACGGCCCAGACUCCUACGGGAGGCAGCAGUGGGGAAUAUUGGACAAUGGGCGAAAGCCUGAUCCAGCAAUGCCGCGUGGGUGAAGAAGGUCUUCGGAUCGUAAAGCCCUUUCGACGGGGACGAUGAUGACGGUACCCGUAGAAGAAGCUCCGGCUAACUUCGUGCCAGCAGCCGCGGUAAUACGAAGGGGGCUAGCGUUGCUCGGAAUUACUGGGCGUAAAGGGCGCGUAGGCGGCGGCCCAAGUCAGGCGUGAAAUUCCUGGGCUCAACCUGGGGACUGCGCUUGAUACUGGGUUGCUUGAGGAUGGAAGAGGCUCGUGGAAUUCCCAGUGUAGAGGUGAAAUUCGUAGAUAUUGGGAAGAACACCGGUGGCGAAAGCGGCGAGCUGGUCCAUUACUGACGCUGAG
RNAcentral lists this ribosomal RNA (651 nucleotides) under uncultured bacterium. Its description in RNAcentral is "bacterial SSU rRNA". It matches the Rfam family "Bacterial small subunit ribosomal RNA", at positions 56 to 750 of the family's 1533-position model. The record is from RNAcentral.